AACGAACGCUGGCGGCAUGCCUAACACAUGCAAGUCGAACGAGACCUUCGGGUCUAGUGGCGCACGGGUGCGUAACGCGUGGGAACCUGCCCUUAGGUUCGGAAUAACUCCCCGAAAGGGGUGCUAAUACCGGAUAAUGUCUUCGGACCAAAGAUUUAUCGCCUUUGGAUGGGCCCGCGUUGGAUUAGCUAGUUGGUAGGGUAAAAGCCUACCAAGGCGACGAUCCAUAGCUGGUCUGAGAGGAUGAUCAGCCACACUGGGACUGAGACACGGCCCAGACUCCUACGGGAGGAAGCAGUGGGGAAUAUUGGACAAUGGGCGAAAGCCUGAUCCAGCAAGGCCGCGUGAGUGAUGAAGGCCUUAGGGUUGUAAAGCUCUUUUACCCGGGAUGAUAAUGACAGUACCGGGAGAAUAAGCGCCGGCUAACUCCGUG
RNAcentral lists this ribosomal RNA (433 nucleotides) under uncultured bacterium. Its description in RNAcentral is "partial 16S ribosomal RNA". It matches the Rfam family "Bacterial small subunit ribosomal RNA", at positions 29 to 507 of the family's 1533-position model. The record is from RNAcentral.